RNAcentral lists this ribosomal RNA (497 nucleotides) under uncultured bacterium. RNAcentral's name for it is "partial 16S ribosomal RNA". It matches the Rfam family "Bacterial small subunit ribosomal RNA", at positions 28 to 507 of the family's 1533-position model. The record is from RNAcentral.
GACGAACGCUGGCGGCGUGCCUAAUACAUGCCAGUAGAACGCUGAAGAGAGGAGCUUGCUCUUCUUGGAUGAGUUGCGAACGGGUGAGUAACGCGUAGGUAACCUGCCUUGUAGCGGGGGAUAACUAUUGGAAACGAUAGCUAAUACCGCAUAACAAUGGAUGACACAUGUCAUUUAUUUGAAAGGGGCAAUUGCUCCACUACAAGAUGGACCUGCGUUGUAUUAGCUAGUAGGUGAGGUAAUGGCUCACCUAGGCGACGAUACAUAGCCGACCUGAGAGGGUGAUCGGCCACACUGGGACUGAGACACGGCCCAGACUCCUACGGGAGGCAGCAGUAGGGAAUCUUCGGAAAUGGGGGCAACCCUGACCGAGCAACGCCGCGGGAGUGAAGAAGGUUUUCGGAUCGUAAAGCUCUGUUGUAAGUCAAGAACGGGUGUGAGAGUGGAAAGUUCACACUGUGACGGUAGCUUACCAGAAAGGGACGGCUAACUACGUG